This 407-nucleotide ribosomal RNA is filed under the name uncultured bacterium. Its description in RNAcentral is "bacterial SSU rRNA". It matches the Rfam family "Bacterial small subunit ribosomal RNA", at positions 355 to 774 of the family's 1533-position model. The record is from RNAcentral.
UGGGGAAUACUGCACAAUGGGCGCAAGCCUGAUGCAGCAACGCCGCGUGAGGGACGACGGCCUUCGGGUUGUAAACCUCUUUUGGCAGGGAAGAAGCGAAAGUGACGGUACCUGCAGAAAAAGCACCGGCUAACUACGUGCCAGCAGCCGCGGUGAUACGUAGGGUGCAAGCGUUGUCCGGAAUUAUUGGGCGUAAAGAGCUCGUAGGCGGUUUGUCGCGUCUGCUGUGAAAACCCGAGGCUCAACCUCGGGCCUGCAGUGGGUACGGGCAAACUAGAGUGCGGUAGGGGAGAUUGGAAUUCCUGGUGUAGCGGUGGAAUGCGCAGAUAUCAGGAGGAACACCGAUGGCGAAGGCAGAUCUCUGGGCCGUAACUGACGCUGAGGAGCGAAAGCAUGGGGAGCGAACA